This is a long non-coding RNA of Cyprinus carpio (common carp), 1951 nucleotides long. RefSeq lists it as uncharacterized. Lineage: Eukaryota; Metazoa; Chordata; Actinopteri; Cypriniformes; Cyprinidae. The record is from RefSeq and is a predicted model, not a curated record. The transcript has 5 exons.
UCUGGUACAGCUAAUAGUCAUGUGAUGCUAUGAACCUUUUCAUCUAAACUAGAGUGGUAAAAGGAGGGGCUUCAUAUUUUAUCUUAGAUUUGGACAUCGACGCAUCUUUAAUAUGAGACUUUUCUAUGUACUUCUGCUUUUGAGCAUUGUUUGCUUUGAGAACAGUGACUCAGAGAAUGGGACAUGUCAGGAAGGUUAUGGAAACAUUUUCAUUCCUAUCAUCGCAAUUCUCUGUGAAGCAUUACUGCUUUCUUUUGCCGUAAAUGUAUACUUCAUUUGCAUGAGAAGAUAUAGAGACUCGUGCCAGAACUUUUACAGUAUGUAACUUUUAUUUUAUUACCACUACGAAAUAAAUGUCAUUAGAUAUUACAAUAAAAAUUACAAUAAUUAUCAUAUGCUAUUUUGCCUAUUUUUUAAGAUAAUUAUAUUGCUAUCUGGUGCAGUCGUGGAACAGCAAAUGAGCCUGAGCAAUCAGAUGACCAGCUUCCAGACGACACACAGUACUCUCUGAUUGUUUCCAAAGACAGAGAGCAUGAGGAACAAACAGAAGUGAACCCCCCUGAGUGUGUAUACUCUGCUGUGAAACCCUAGAAAAGAUUCGACCUCAUCAAAAACGUAUGCUUAAAUUGGUGAUAUAUUCUGCUUUUUUCCCCUCUCUUUCUCUGUUAUUGUUUUUGCAUUUUUGUUUUCAUUGUCAUUUAAUCUGUCUGUAAUUUAUAUUUAAGCAGAUGCUGUGGAAAAAAAUAAAUAAAAUCAAGAUGCUUGUGGACUACUGUCCCAGCACAAGAGUCAAAGAGCUGAAGUCUAGUGGAUUGUUUAUUGUAUAACCACCGCACAGUUUACCAAUUUUGAAUGGACAAUGAUAGUAGUUUUUGGUUGUUAAUUAGUUGCAUUAGUAGUGCAGUAGUUUGCUCUUGGCAUCUGAGUUCACUGUUGCUUAUCGGUUGGUAUCUGUAUCUUCUGGCUAAAUGCAAUUGAGCAAUUAACAUAUUUUUGUGCUAUAUGUGCGGUUACAUGAGAAGCAUGUGCUUCAAAGAAAUUGGUUGCUGUCAGCAGUUCAAAACAUAGCAGAUGCAUUUUACUAUUGAUUUAGCCUUUGUGUAAAGUAGGCUUUAAUGUGAUGUAGGUUUUUGUUUUUGAUCAGUUUUUUUGUUUGUUGAUUUUUUUUUAAUCAUACGUCUGAAAUUUUGAUUUCAUCCAGGCCAGCGCAGAAUUUAAUGUACUGAUGUUGUAAAUUUACAAUUUAACAAGUCUAUUUAAAAUGAAAGGUUAUGUGUUGUGACUGAAAUGCUCAUGUUUUGGUGACAAUAAAUGGUUAACAGCACAAGGUUUGUCGUUGCCUGCAAUCUCAAAGCUCACCUUAUGAGGGCAGCAGAAAUCAUAAAAUUUAAAAUGGUUGAAAAAACGAUUUGACUAUACUUGAAUAUAAUGAGCUGAUUGCUAUACUAAAUUGUACGCUAGUCUUACAAUAUGAUUGUGAUUUUUAAAAGUAUUACACUAGAGAUUGGAUGGCCAAAGUCAUAAAGAGAUGGUGAUAGCUGCUAAAAUGCGUUCAACACUUUCUGUGCUUUAUCAAGUUUCCUGAGCAUUGUCAGAUGAAUUGUGAAAUUAUUUAGCCAGUGAACACAGAAAGAUCUGCCACAUCAGAUGAACAUCACAGUCUCCUGAAGCUCUCAGACGGCGGCUUCUCUCAUGACUGUGUUCUUUGAAUCUGCUGGAUGACUCAGGAUUUGCAUGCUUGACCCCAGACCUGACAGACAGUGUUAUCAUAUGCAUUACCAGCAGGCCGGAAUAAAACCAGUCAAGACAAAAGGUCACCCUAGUCUUACAGUUUUACUUCUGCUUUUUUCAUUUAUGAACGGCCUGCGAUAUGUUCACACAUAACAGUAACAGAAAAAAAAAAAAGAACAAUAUAUAUUUUUAUUAGUGGUGGAAAGAGUACUAAGAAAUU